Long non-coding RNA from Zingiber officinale, 777 nucleotides. RefSeq lists it as uncharacterized. The record is from RefSeq and is a predicted model, not a curated record. Lineage: Eukaryota; Viridiplantae; Streptophyta; Magnoliopsida; Zingiberales; Zingiberaceae. The transcript is spliced from 2 exons.
UAAAGUUAGGUAGUAAGACAUCGCCUCCGCCAAUAAGGUAGAUUCCUGCUCGGCGCGUUGAGUUGACUGGAAUCCAACAGCGCGGAUCCUUGCAUCAGUUUCCUUGCACCAUCCCUGGAUCACAAACAAUCAUUUAAAAGAUUAGCAUGUGCAUUGCACGUGCACGUGAGAACACAACUCACGCAGAAAUCAUUCUCACGUGGAGCUCUAAUCUCUCACCUUCGGCCACCAUCCACGAUCCGUCGGCGCCUUCUUCCGCCUCGCCCAAGCCCUAACCUCUCGCCAUCUUCCACCUCCGCCGUCCGCUGGCACCGUCUUCCACCUCGUCGACAAAUUUCGAAGCCCUAACCCCUCCCCGACGGCCUCUAGAACUGAAGUUCGACGGCCUCCAGCGGAUCCUACUCACGCAGAGACCCACCGCGAUCCGGCGGCGACGACUCGGUUCCCUGACUCCUCCGAGGCCCAGCCCUGCUCGCGACCGGUGAUGGCCCAAGCUCUGCCGCCGUUUCUGCGCAGAUUAUUAUAACUCCGAGCUUCACCCCUCCGACGUCCGGCGACGCCCAGCCCUGCCCUCCACUGUUGGUUCUAGCAAGUUUGAGUUUUCCUUUAAUUUCUUCCUAUUUAAAUGUUUGAUUUCCAGAUUUACAACAGCAUGAGGAUCUUUAUAAUAUCUGUUUAAAACUAUAUUUUUGUCGAUUUUGUUUCAUUUGUAAUUUGCUAACUGAGUUUAAGAAUUUGUAUAAUUUAAGUUUGCUAUCAAAUGUACUUACUGUAAAA